RNAcentral lists this ribosomal RNA (301 nucleotides) under uncultured bacterium. Its description in RNAcentral is "partial 16S ribosomal RNA". It matches the Rfam family "Bacterial small subunit ribosomal RNA", at positions 509 to 807 of the family's 1533-position model. The record is from RNAcentral.
CAGCCGCCGCGGUAAUACGAAGGGGGCUAGCGUUGCUCGGAAUGACUGGGCGUAAAGGGCGCGUAGGCGGCGAUCAAAGUCAGGCGUGAAAUUCCUGGGCUCAACCUGGGGGCUGCGCUUGAUACUUGGUUGCUUGAGUGGGGAAGAGGGUCGUGGAAUUCCCAGUGUAGAGGUGAAAUUCGUAGAUAUUGGGAAGAACACCGGUGGCGAAGGCGGCGACCUGGUCCUUGACUGACGCUGAGGCGCGAAAGCGUGGGGAGCAAACAGGAUUAGAUACCCGAGUAGUCCAUGUCUCUUAUAC